Molecule: long non-coding RNA, 291 nt
Filed under: Carica papaya (papaya)
Lineage: Eukaryota; Viridiplantae; Streptophyta; Magnoliopsida; Brassicales; Caricaceae
Description: long non-coding RNA (CPAP_LNC006143)
Source: RNAcentral
GAUUCUUGGGUGGACCAACAAGGUCUUGUGCAGUAAGAUGAUUCUCAUGGUAAAGAUGCAAUGGCAGCAUCAUACCCCAGAAGAAGCAACGUGGGAGUUGGAAAGAGAGAUAAGGGAGAAGUAUCCGGACCGUUUGGAGACAAAUUUGGGGACUAAAUUUUUCUAAGGUGGGGGGAAUGUAACGCUCUACCCAUCAUUGUGCUUAAUUAAUUUGAAAAAUCCUAUUUAUUUGAGCCUUUAGGCCACAUUGAACUCAUUUAGUUUACUCUACAUAUUAUUUAUUGUAAUUCG